AGUGAACGCUGGCGGUAUGCCUAACACAUGCAAGUCGAACGGCAGCACAGUAAGAUCUUGCUCCUGCGGUUGGCGACUGGCGGACGGGUGAGACGUACAUCGGCAUCUUCUUUUUCUGGGGGGACAUCGUGAGACAGCUGACACUACUACCUAAUACUACCUACCGGAUAAAUCAAAAGAGCAUCACACUCUUCGCGUCUCUAUUAGACGAAUCCGCGCUGCAUUAGCUAGUUGGUAAGGUACCGGCUCACCAAGGAAACGAUGCGUAGCUGAGCUGAGAGGAUGAUCAGCCACACUGGAACUGAGACACGGUCCAGACUCCUACGGGAGGCAGCAGUGGGGAAUAUUGGACAAUGGGCGCAAGCCUGACGCAGCAAUACCGCGUGAGUGAAGAAGGCCUUCGGGUUGUAAAGCUCUUUUGUUGGGAAAGAAAAGAUGCAGAUUAAUCCGCCGACGUUCUGACGGUACCCAAAGAAAAAGCACCGGCUAACUUCGUG
This 497-nucleotide ribosomal RNA is filed under the name uncultured bacterium. Its description in RNAcentral is "partial 16S ribosomal RNA". It matches the Rfam family "Bacterial small subunit ribosomal RNA", at positions 29 to 507 of the family's 1533-position model. The record is from RNAcentral.